Molecule: small nucleolar RNA, 78 nt
Filed under: Sciurus vulgaris (Eurasian red squirrel)
Lineage: Eukaryota; Metazoa; Chordata; Mammalia; Rodentia; Sciuridae
Description: Small nucleolar RNA R38 (ENSSVLG00005022833.1)
Rfam family: Small nucleolar RNA R38
About the family: snoR38 is a C/D box small nucleolar RNA conserved across yeast, human, Arabidopsis and rice. It is encoded in the intron of elongation factor-1 gamma in both pombe and cerevisiae. snoR38 guides the methylation of 2'-O-ribose sites in 28S rRNA.
Source: Rfam by way of RNAcentral
UUGAGCUGAGGAGGAUUUAAAGUUAUCCCUGACUGAAGUGACAUCUUUUGUGAAGAGUUCUGACUUAACUGAGCUCAA